CCGAGUUACAACUCCCAAACCCCUGUGAACAUACCACUUGUUGCCUCGGCGGAUCAGCCCGCUCCCCGGUAAAACGGGACGGCCCGCCAGAGGACCCCUAAACUCUGUUUCUAUAUGUAACUUCUGAGUAAAACCAUAAAUAAAUCA
Molecule: unclassified non-coding RNA, 147 nt
Filed under: soil metagenome
Description: partial internal transcribed spacer 1
Source: RNAcentral